Molecule: small nucleolar RNA, 123 nt
Organism: Salvia splendens (bonfire salvia)
Lineage: Eukaryota; Viridiplantae; Streptophyta; Magnoliopsida; Lamiales; Lamiaceae
Source: RefSeq, a predicted model, not a curated record
ACCAAUACCGGUUGAUUAAUCCAUUCCUCUCGGUUUAAUGGCACGGACGCAACAUUCAAUUUGUGGCUAUCCUGAUUGGUGAGUUUUUAAUAUCAUUGAAUCCCGGAAACACCUCAUAAAUUU